This 30-nucleotide non-coding RNA is filed under the name Rattus norvegicus (Norway rat). The record is from RNAcentral. Lineage: Eukaryota; Metazoa; Chordata; Mammalia; Rodentia; Muridae.
UGGUUGGAUCUUAGUUACUGACACAAGCCU